CUAAACCAUUUACUUCUAAAGUGAAACAAAUGCGAUUACAUAGAGAAGACUUUGAAAUAUUAAAGGUGAUUGGUCGAGGAGCUUUUGGGGAGGAAAACCUUUAACUUACGCCCUGGGUGUUGCCUGUCAACAGUUUCCUGGUGGCUCACCGCUUCUGCCUGCUCCAGCCUUGCUCCGGCAGCUUCAAGGCUUCUGGGCUUCAGAGCUUGUUGUGAAAGCUUGCUGCUUUGGCCUGCUACCCCUGCUUCAGGUUGCUGUAGUAAAACUAAAAAAUGCAGAUAAAGUGUUUGCCAUGAAAAUAUUGAAUAAAUGGGAAAUGCUGAAAAGAGCUGAG
RNAcentral lists this long non-coding RNA (334 nucleotides) under Homo sapiens (human). RNAcentral's name for it is "non-protein coding lnc-ITPKB-4:1". Lineage: Eukaryota; Metazoa; Chordata; Mammalia; Primates; Hominidae. The record is from RNAcentral.